Molecule: ribosomal RNA, 489 nt
Filed under: uncultured bacterium
Lineage: Bacteria
Description: bacterial SSU rRNA
Rfam family: Bacterial small subunit ribosomal RNA
Source: RNAcentral
UCAGGAUGAACGCUAGCGGCAGGCUUAACACAUGCAAGUCGAGGGGCAGCGCGGGUAGCAAGUACCUGGCGGCGACCGGCGAAAGGGUGCGUAACGCGUGAGCAACUUGCCCGUAUCCGGGGGAUAAGCGCUGGAAACGGCGUCUAAUACCGCAUAACAACAGAGGCCGCAUGACUUCUGUUUGAAAACUCCGGUGGAUACGGAUGGGCUCGCGAGACAUUAGCUUGUUGGCGGGUAACGGCCCACCAAGGCUACGAUGUCUAGGGGUUCUGAGAGGAAGGUCCCCCACAUUGGAACUGAGACACGGUCCAAACUCCUACGGGAGGCAGCAGUGAGGAAUAUUGGUCAAUGGCCGGAAGGCUGAACCAGCCAUGCCGCGUGAAGGAUUAAGGCCCUAUGGGUCGUAAACUUCUUUUGUGGUGGAGCAAUAAGUGUCACGUGUGACACGAUGAGAGUACAUCACGAAUAAGCAUCGGCUAACUCCGUGCC